UACGUAGGGCGCGAGCGUUGUCCGGAUUUAUUGGGCGUAAAGAGCUCGUAGGCGGUUUGUCGCGUCGAACGUGAAAACUCGGGGCUCAACUCCGAGCUUGCAUUCGAUACGGGCAGGCUAGAGUUCGGUAGGGGAGACUGGAAUUCCUGGUGUAGCGGUGAAAUGCGCAGAUAUCAGGAGGAACACCGGUGGCGAAGGCGGGACUCUGGGCCGAUACUGACGCUGAGGAGCGAAAGCGUGGGGAGCGAACAGG
RNAcentral lists this ribosomal RNA (253 nucleotides) under uncultured bacterium. Its description in RNAcentral is "partial 16S ribosomal RNA". It matches the Rfam family "Bacterial small subunit ribosomal RNA", at positions 524 to 776 of the family's 1533-position model. The record is from RNAcentral.